UGCAAUGUUGGUGAUUCCAACUCUUGUGUUUUCUCAGACAAUUCCUGUAACUGAAGUCAAAGUUGGUGAAAAUGUGACUCUGACUUGUAAUGUCACCGGGAAAGAGAGCGGACUGUUUUACUGGUACAAGAUGAAGUGUGGAUAUUCGAUCCAAACGGUUGUAACAGGGUAUUUUGAAAGUGUAAACCUUAAAGAACCAUUUAAGGUCUUUAGUUUCAAAUUCAAGGUCAUAAAAGUGGGUAAUGUGUAUUCGCUCAUCAUACGAAACAUCCAAAAGGAGGACGAAGCAAUAUACUUCUGUCAGGCAGGAAUAGCAUACAAGAUGCCGUUCUUUAAUGUCAUAAAACUGGAAGUGAGUCAGUCUGAUGUGAAACAAACUCAGAAAACUCUGUUUGGCGUCAAAACUACGACCGAAACAAAAAACAACUUGGAUUCAGUUGUCAUCGGACUUGGUGUGCUUUGUGCUCUAUGUGUGAUUGUCAUCGCUAUCCUUGUGUUUUUGAGAGACUGAUGAUAAACAUGAUCUGCAAUAUUGUGACAUUUCAUUAAUGUCAAAUAAAUUCACUUAUGCACCAGAUCCCUACAGACCACCUUGGAUAUUUCUACGACUUAAUGCUCUGUUAUAUAUGCAGUUUUUCCUCAAGUUGUAAAUAAAAAUUGUUUAAAACAUAUUUAACUUGUCACCUCAGUGAAACACUGCAGUUCAGCUCAGAUAAAAAUAUUUGGGGCUCUCAUCCUCGUUAUUUUAUUUUAUGAACACAAAUUAUUACGUUUUGAUUAAUUAUAAAAUAUUUACAAAUAUCACCAAUAAGUCAAUGAGAAUAACCUAUUCUCUGUGCUAGGUGGCACUGAGGAUACUUUACAGAGACAAGAUUGGUAUGUUACCUAUUUCCAAAAGUAUAUGAUCACCCAUCUAAAUUAUUGGAAUUACCAGUUAGGCAUGCAGAUUCUUUUUUUCGUUUAUCCAUGAAAGAACUGGUUGCUCUUAAGACUUAAGGGAAUUCAGGCGUGGCACUGUGAUUGGAUGCCACAUGUGAGACAAAUCUGAAAUAUGAGUCAUGAAAUUUUCUUGCUCCUAAAUAUUCCACAGUCAACUAUCAGUUUUAUCAUAAGAAAAUUGAAGUCCAUGACAGCAACUUACUCAUGAAGUGGUAGACCACAUUAACUGAAAGGGAUCAGCGGAUACAGUGCAGAGACGUUCUUUGGAGAGUCAAAAAAUGCUAGUCCAUCUAGAAAUCUGAUGGACAAGUCUGAGUUUGGCGGUUGCCUGGACUACGGUAUUUAUCUGUAUUGUGUAAAGUUGAUUAUGGUGUGGGGUUGUUUUUUUUUCAAGAGUUUGCUUUGCCCCUUAGUUCCUAUUAGAGGAACAUUAAAUGCAUAAAACAUACUAAAACCUUUUGGACAAUUCCAUUUUCCAAACAUUGGGCCCUUCCAAUUCCAACAUGACUGUAAACCAGUGAAUAAAGUAAGGUCCAUACAUUAAUGGCAAACUCUGGUGUGGAUGAAUUUGAAUAGCCAGCACAAGGUCCUGAUCUCGACCUGAUAGAACCCUUUUGGGAUGAAUUAGAGAAGACACUGAGAGACAGGUGUCAUAGAGUCUAUUGUUAAAAUUAACCAAAGACUUGACAUGCCAUGUCUUUGACUUGCCAUUUCUGACCUGCAAAUUGACUUGCCUUCAGUCAUGUAAUUGCCAAGUCACUGCAAUUGUGUUCAUUAUAAUAUUAUUAUGAGUAAAUAAAUUAUUUUAUAAUCCUUGCUUUAUUUUGCAUGAGUGCUCCUGACCUGCAGCAUAUCAGUAAACCUGGUAACCAAUCUUCCAUGCAAAGUACGGAGAGGAAUACCUGCAACAAAGAAAACUUGAAGCUGUUUUAACUGAUAAGUAUGGACUGACGUCAUACGGCACCCCUAUGGAUUGAAAAUGGGAUGUAACUUAAAUUCAUAUGUGAAGUGAGGGAGGUGAACAAAUACUUUUGGCAAUAUAGUGCACUUCAACCUAUGUCAUUAUUUUUUUAUAUUUAUACAUAGUGAUGUUAUCUUUCAAAUUAAAAAGAUCUAUUAGAUGAUAAGAAACAGAGGCCUUAGUAAAACAUUCCAGAUUAUUAC
Cyprinodon tularosa is the source of this 2103-nucleotide non-coding RNA. Lineage: Eukaryota; Metazoa; Chordata; Actinopteri; Cyprinodontiformes; Cyprinodontidae. The record is from the annotation of a RefSeq genome assembly.